GACGAACGCUGGCGGCGUGCUUAACACAUGCAAGUCGAACGGUAAGGCCCUUCGGGGUACACGAGUGGCGAACGGGUGAGUAACACGUGGGUGAUCUGCCCUGCACUUCGGGAUAAGCCUGGGAAACUGGGUCUAAUACCGGAUAGGACCAUGCGCUUCACGGUGUGUGGUGGAAAGCUUUUGCGGUGUGGGAUGGGCCCGCGGCCUAUCAGCUUGUUGGUGGGGUAAUGGCCUACCAAGGCGACGACGGGUAGCCGGCCUGAGAGGGUGACCGGCCACACUGGGACUGAGAUACGGCCCAGACUCCUACGGGAGGCAGCAGUAGGGAAUUUUCCACAAUGGACGAAAGUCUGAUGGAGCAACGCCGCGUGCAGGAUGACAGCCUUCGGGUCGUAAACUGCUUUUAUGAGUGAAGAUUAUGACAGUAACUCAAGAAUAAGGGACGGCUAACUACGUGCCAGCAGCCGCAGUAA
RNAcentral lists this ribosomal RNA (473 nucleotides) under uncultured bacterium. RNAcentral describes it as "partial 16S ribosomal RNA". It matches the Rfam family "Bacterial small subunit ribosomal RNA", at positions 28 to 523 of the family's 1533-position model. The record is from RNAcentral.